UCGGUGGAGAUGGAUAAAAUGAAU
Molecule: microRNA, 24 nt
Filed under: Gossypium raimondii (Peruvian cotton)
Lineage: Eukaryota; Viridiplantae; Streptophyta; Magnoliopsida; Malvales; Malvaceae
Description: gra-miR8748
Source: miRBase by way of RNAcentral